This 23-nucleotide small nuclear RNA is filed under the name Arabidopsis thaliana (thale cress). RNAcentral describes it as "snRNA_07086". Lineage: Eukaryota; Viridiplantae; Streptophyta; Magnoliopsida; Brassicales; Brassicaceae. The record is from RNAcentral.
GCUAAACAACUUUACUUAAACAA